RNAcentral lists this unclassified non-coding RNA (290 nucleotides) under Hevea brasiliensis (rubber tree). The record is from RNAcentral. Lineage: Eukaryota; Viridiplantae; Streptophyta; Magnoliopsida; Malpighiales; Euphorbiaceae.
AUUUCAAGCAUUAUUUUGCCAAAGUGAUGUUCUUUGAUCUCCAUAUCCCUUAAUUACACGGAAAACGAUAAUAUAUAUAUAAACAAACCUAAAUUGCACCCUCUCAAGCAAUAAUACCACUUCCAAUGUUGAACUUCUUGAGAUUCUAAAGAUUGGCAUCAUAAAUAUACUAGGAUCACAUGAAAAAUAAUCAUAAUAAGUUUGAAAGACCUCAAGAAGACUAAUCCUAUUUGACUAUAAUACAUCAGUGGCAUAAAGUAAUAAAAUUAUCGACUAAGUCGGGCUUGUAA